GGUGAUAUAGUGUAGUGGUUAUCACUCGGGAUUUUGAUUUGUAUCAAUCUUCCCGAAACCCAGGUUCGAACCCUGGUAUUACCU
Suillus paluster is the source of this 84-nucleotide non-coding RNA. Lineage: Eukaryota; Fungi; Basidiomycota; Agaricomycetes; Boletales; Suillaceae. The record is from the annotation of a RefSeq genome assembly.